CAGGAACCAAAAGUACCCGGUUUAGAAACGCCCAUUGAAGCGUGAAACGGGCAGACACUAGGACACACAAAUAACCCAGCCAAUCGCGUCACUCUUGACUUGUGAGUUGUGGUCGAUAACCUACCUCGUUGAAGCGUUCUAGACGAGGUGAAUGGAUAUUCACAAUGCAUCGACUGCUGGAGCGGUUCUGAAGUUACAAUCGAAGACGACUCACACCACACAUUGGACUGCUCUUUCAACUUUGAACCAUGAGUCUCACCUUCAGACUGUAGAUGUGGCUUUCCUAAGAACCAACAGGAAACCUGACAAAACAGGCUGAAUGGGCAGGGAGCUUAUAUUCAUGAGCUCACCUUGACUGACGGCUCUUUGAAACACCCUUGUGGUCGUUGCCAGUUAACAAGACUUUAGGUAUUGCAGCCAACUACAGAGAUUGAUGGUGAGAGGAGCUGCAGAGGAGGGAGACCCAGGUACCCCGCAUCAAUCAAGCAGACUUUAGUCACUUACUUGAAUUCAGUCACCCACUUGGCUUCAGUCUUCCCCAAGAUGAAAGCAGGAGACAAAUCCAGCUGUGGCCUCCUCCUUGUCAGGCCUCUCACACUGGGCAGACAGGCGUCCUGUGAUGGGCAGCUCGCACAGCUUCCCCACAUACGGUGCUGGAUCAAGGGUGACCUCGCUGGGGAGGAGAUCCAGGAGCCCUUCUACGUAGCCUGUAAUGUUUUUGAAAUGUUUGUUAAAUGGGGAGUGAAUUGAAUUUCCUUUUAUUUACUGUUCUGAGUUAUGAUGCUAUCAAUUUAUUGAUGUAGUGAUCUACUCAUUCUACAAUGUGUUUUCUGGUAUUUUUGAAAUACUCAAUUUGAAAUAUGCAAUAUCUGGUCGUGCACUUUUUUGUGAAACUUUUCAAUGUUUGUAUUUGGAAAUUUGUUGUGCCUGAAAUGCUCAAUUGAUUUGAAGUGAAUAACUAAAAAUAAUAAUUGAUCACAUUUAUAUAGCGCCUUUCAUAGAUUCUCAACGUGCUCCAAGAGCAAAAAACAGACCAGCAAUAUAUGACAGGUCAACCAAUAUGACUUACAGUAUGUUUGGUCUGUUGUCACAGGCUUCUCAGCAUAUCCCGUCUUCUUUGCCUUGGGAAAACUGAUUUUGUAUCACAGCAUUCCUGCUGGUGUGUUUGCCUGGGAAGCUGUGCAGACAGAGUAGAUGUUGAAUUUUCUAAAAUAUCUAUCAUUAUAGCUUGAUGAUAGUGGGAAAGACAAACGGAUAUGGAAAGUGUGAUAAUAAUACCCAACAAACUCUUUUUAUGGUCAACAUUCCUGCGUGUCGGCUGUGUGCUGGCACUACUCAGACGCAACGUAGGGGGCUGAAAGCCAAUUUUAUGUUUGAUCUGAAAAUGUGGUCGGCGGCUCCAUAUGGAUUGUCUGACGCAAUCGCGGUACCUCCAGAGGCACGCGGACGACAAAUUGAGCUCUGAACAGCAAAUAUUGUAACCAUGCGGAGGCUCCGUAUAGCUUCGCAUUGACAUGAUUGGUUGAUGGUAGGUGGGGGUGGGAGGUCCAGUAUAAGCACACACUCACUUCUUUGACAACUUUCCUCACAACAGCUCUGUGAAGCUCAAUAAUUAUGAAUGCCCUUACUUCUGCGGAGGCCGUAUCACCCUAAAUGCUGCACUGCCAAUGCUGGCGUCGUAGUGACUUAACAGGUGUGUUACAGAAAAUAUAUCGUUCACAAGUCAAAACGGCCACAGCCACCGAGUCAGACUCAUCAAACUCUGAUACUUACAUUAUGGUCAGCCCUUGCAAGAUCCACUGUCAAUAAUGGCACAGCGUCAGUCUUCAGGUUUAGCUUCCUGGCAAGACCUAUCGAAUGUCCUCACCAGUUUAUAAAGCAACUUCGCUCUAAAUGUACACUGCACUAACAUGAUCGUAAUUUUCAGUGGAGCCUGAAAUGAAAAGCAGCCACUGCUGUCAAAUGUUAAUUCUUCGGAAAAUAGUGUAACUUUUUAAAUGAACGCUAUGGCAUCCAGUCACAACAUUGUGCUUUUUCUGCCAUGCUGGUAAGUACAGUAGCUAGCUAGCUAAAAGGCACAACACAUGAAAAGGGUUUAGUUUGCUUGAGCUAUCUUACAGUUCGUAAACAAAGCCAUAUAAUGCGCACGUGAUGACGGUUUUGAGGCGUUACAUAUUUAAAUGAGUUAAGAUUAUAAGAUGCUCUCCAGAGUGGAGCAGCGCUCUAAGGCACUGCGUCGCAGUGCUUGAGGUGUCACUACAGACCCGGGUUUGAUCCCAGGCAGUGUCACAACUGGCCGUGACCGGGAGUCCCAUAGAGUGGUGCACAAUUGGCCCAGCGUUGUCCAGGUUAGGGGAAGGUUUGGCUGGGUGGGCUUUACUUGGCUCAUUGCGCUCUAGCGACUCCUUGUGCAGGCUGACUUCGGUCGUCAGUUAAGUGAUGCUUCCGCCGACACAUUGGUGCUGCUGGCUUCUAAAACGACAUUCAUCAUAAAAAGUAAAAAAUAGAACUGUCAAACAUCCUUUCUCCCAUUGAAGUUUAUAUGUAAGAAUUGCAAGAAAAAUCUAUUGUGUGUGUCAAUGACUACGUGCCUAUGGUUUUGAUGUCCAUGUUUAAUAAUGCCUGCUGUGUGUUUGUGGCUGCAAUAUAUCAGGCCAUUUAAAACUGAGUUCAAACUGAUACAUUGGUGCCAUUUAAUUAUUAUUAUUUUUAAUUAACCAAGUGCUCCUGACCAUUAAAAUCGCCAUAAAGGCUAACCUUCC
Molecule: long non-coding RNA, 2762 nt
Organism: Oncorhynchus tshawytscha (Chinook salmon)
Lineage: Eukaryota; Metazoa; Chordata; Actinopteri; Salmoniformes; Salmonidae
Source: Ensembl